RNAcentral lists this ribosomal RNA (440 nucleotides) under uncultured bacterium. RNAcentral describes it as "SSU rRNA". It matches the Rfam family "Bacterial small subunit ribosomal RNA", at positions 26 to 518 of the family's 1533-position model. The record is from RNAcentral.
AGAGCGAACGCUGGCGGCAGGCUUAACACAUGCAAGUCGAGCGCCCCGCAAGGGGAGCGGCAGACGGGAGAGUAACACGUGGGAACGUACCCUUUGGUUCGGAACAACCCAGGGAAACUUGGGCUAAUACCGGAUAAGUCCGUAAGGAGAAAGAUUUAUCGCCAAUGGAUCGGCCCGCGUCUGAUUAGCUAGUUGGUGAGGUAAUGGCUCACCAAGGCGACGAUCAGUAGCUGGUCUGAGAGGAUGAUCAGCCUCACUGGGACUGAGACACGGCCCAGACUCCUACGGGAGGCAGCAGUGGGGAAUAUUGGACAAUGGGCGCAAGCCUGAUCCAGCCAUGCCGCGUGGGUGAUGAAGGCCCUAGGGUUGUAAAGCCUUUCGGCGGGAAAUAAUGACGGUACCGCAGAAGAAGCCCCGGCUAACUUCGUGCCAGCAGCCGC